GCAAACUUGGUCAUUUAGAGGAAGUAAAAGUCGUAACAAGGUCUCCGUUGGUGAACCAGCGGAGGGAUCAUUACUGAGUGUAACAACUCCCAAACCCACUGUGAACAUACCACCGUUGCUUCGGCGGGCCACGCCCCGGGCGCCACUGCGUGCCCCGGAACCAGGCGCCCGCCGGGGGACCGAAAACCAUCGUCUUCCUCGUUUCCUUCUGAGUGGACUUGAUACAAUCAAUCAAAACUUUCAACAACGGAUCUCUUGGUUCUGGCAUCGAUGAAGAACGCAGC
RNAcentral lists this unclassified non-coding RNA (284 nucleotides) under uncultured fungus. RNAcentral describes it as "partial contains small subunit ribosomal RNA, internal transcribed spacer 1, and 5.8S ribosomal RNA". The stretch from base 1 to 73 matches the Rfam family "Eukaryotic small subunit ribosomal RNA", at positions 1759 to 1831 of the family's 1831-position model. Lineage: Eukaryota; Fungi. The record is from RNAcentral.